UGUAAGCGUAUACCAAAGUUGUUGCAGUUAAAACGCUCGUAGUCGGAAUUUGGCAGUUCCGGAAGUGUGCACGUCGUGUGCGCACUUUGCGGGUACUGCUUUUGUGGUCUUGCGUAGGAUGAGGCACUUUCAUUAGUGAACGUCCUCACGCAACCACUCUUUACUGUGAGAAAAUCAGAGUGCUCAAAGCAGGCAUUUGCCGUGAAUGUAUUAGCAUGGAAUAAUAGAAUAGGACUCGGUUCUAUUUUGUUGGUUUGUUGGGACUGAGUAAUGAUUAAGAGGGACAGUUGGGGGCAUUUGUAUUCCGGCGCUAGAGGUGAAAUUCUUAGAUUGCCGGAAGACAAACUGCUGCGAAAGCGUCUGCCAAGGAUGUUUUCAUUGA
Molecule: ribosomal RNA, 382 nt
Filed under: uncultured eukaryote
Lineage: Eukaryota
Description: partial 18S ribosomal RNA
Rfam family: Eukaryotic small subunit ribosomal RNA
Source: RNAcentral